Molecule: long non-coding RNA, 405 nt
Filed under: Salmo salar (Atlantic salmon)
Lineage: Eukaryota; Metazoa; Chordata; Actinopteri; Salmoniformes; Salmonidae
Description: lncRNA (ENSSSAG00000103576.1)
Source: RNAcentral
GCGGUGAUGCAACCGGUCAGGAUGCUCUCGAUGGUGCAGCUGUAGAACCUUUUGAGGAUCUGGGGACCCAUGCCAAAUCUUUUCAGUCUUCUGAGGGGGAAAAGGUUUUGUCGUGCCCUCUUCACGACUGUCUUGCUCUCUUGCUUUUGGACUGAGAGGGGGAGUGAAUGUAAUCAGAUCGUAGACGGAGGGUACAGGUGAGAAGGACAGCACAGCAGCACCUUGUUGUGUGAAAGAGCCUACCCAUGAGGACACAGUGAAAGCCCAGGAUGUAAUAGAGACUCAGCAGCCAAAGGAGUAGCUGUGUGCCCAAACUUUGUCAUUGACCAGAUUCUUCUCAUUCCAGUCGCCCUUUAAUUCCAGUGUAAGGAUGAGUGAGUACAUUUCAAGGCCGUUCUUCCACUA